Nothoprocta perdicaria is the source of this 2372-nucleotide RNA transcript. RefSeq lists it as uncharacterized. Lineage: Eukaryota; Metazoa; Chordata; Aves; Tinamiformes; Tinamidae. The record is from RefSeq and is a predicted model, not a curated record. The transcript has 4 exons.
UUAUCACUAGUUUGCCAGUCACACAGAGUGAGGGCAUGGAUGAGAUCAAGGCCCAGUUUUCUUGCUAAGUAUUGUACAAACUCCAAGCAAGAGUCCUACAAAAGGAGGUAUCUGCUUUACAGAGGCAAACGGAUGGAAUUAGGCUGAGAGUUAAAAUAACUGGUUCUCAGCAGCUGAACUGGGAACCCAACCUAGGACUCUCUAUCCUGGGAUGUGCUGCUUGUUGAUUUAGACAUCUUUUCUUUUUAUAUUUAUUCUGAAUCACUGAAAUGACUAAUUGAAUAAAUGCCAUGCCCUUUGGAGCACUGCUUAUUGUAUUUCUAGAGAACAGAUUACCUAUUCUGUCAGUCUGUUGGAGGUAUUAAGAGUGAUACACUCAUCAAGAAAAACUGUAGGUUGGGUGUGACUGAAAACUUGGUCUUUUCUCCUGUAGGGAAAUCUGAACCUCUGCUUGUGGUGUGAUGGACAGAUCAUGAAGACUCUGGGACUACCACAUCAUCCCAUUCUACUCCGCUUUCAGGUUGCAAUUAGAAGUUGCAUUGGGAAGAAGCAACUUCCAUGUAAAGCUGUGAAUGAAACAUCAACAUUAUUCCAGUGAUCUUGAAGCAAGAGUGGCCUAUCAGCUAAAGUUGUGUGAACUAAAUCAUAUAUUCCCCAACUACAGCUAAAACCCAUUGCCAAUUUUAGCCUAAUCUUCACUUCUGCCAAAGAAAAGAGAGACUCUUUGAGCUGCAAGUGUGAAAUGCCAGAUGAUCCACAGGUCUCUUACUGUCUGCAGGAGAAUAAUACAGGCGAAAGACCCGAUUCUCAGAGGCCACCUCCAGCGCUUGUCAUUCCUGAUCUGCAACAUCACCUGUUGUUCCAAUACGAAGCUCCUCUAGACCAGAAACUGGAGCAAAGAAUAGAAAUACGUGUUUGUCAUUGAACUGAACUGAGAAGAAGGAAGAGCAGAAUGAUAAGAUCAUAGCCUGCAGCACUUUGUUUAUGAGAACAUCCUUCCAGUGAUAUAUGCCUGCACCAGGUGAAAGUAUUGUGUCACCCUUAACAUAUUUUAAAUGCCAGGGCUGUCAUGCAAGAAGACAAUGAUGAACAAGUUUAAACAGAAUAUGGUAUUGUAGCCAUGUACUGAGUGUUACCUUUAAAGGCUUGCACUGGUAGCGUUCCUUGGCAAAAUGUUUCCUGUGUUGUAUUUCCCUGUUGAACCUCUUUCUCAAAGCAGUUUAGACUAAAUGUAACUGUUUUGACUGCAGGUGAACCAAGAGUGAUAUGUAAACUAGUGCAUUUUCUCACACAGGUUUUUUUUUUGGCUAUUCCACAUGGUUUCCUUAUCAUAAAUACACGAGCUUCUCUUCUUGGGUAGGGAUCCCACUGGGCAAAUAGGUAAAUAAAAGCAUGUCUACACUGUGCACUGAAGUGAGUGCACGGCCUUGUCCCAGGUCACUGCGUGUCACAGGUUUUCUUGGACUAGAUCUAGUGUUUGUCCAUGAACUGAAAGCACUUUAGCAGAUGGAGCUCCCGAGACCGCAUACUCUGGUUUAGUUUCCAUCCAAAGAAUUUAGCCCACCUGCUCAGAGAUUGCUUCAUAUUGUGGAGCAAGGUAAGAGGGACGACAGGAAAUGUCAUUUCCAAAGGGCACUCCUGGGCCAAACUGAAAUGCAAACGUCGAAGCACCUAUUGUCACAGAGCAAGUAUGCAGAGUUACCAUCUACAUGGCAGUUUUCUUCACUGAUAUUUAUCUUGAGCUCAACUGCACGAACACACUCACCACAUUACCGUGCUGUUUCACAACACGACUCGUUUGCUCAGACUGAUGACCUAAAUUAAGCCUUGGGAAGACCAACAUCCAACACGUGAUACUGGAUGCAGGCAUGGCCAUAUUCACCUCGGAUUCAGGUAAAAGAGUUGUAGUUAGGUAUGUCACAGUAAUGAACGCAACUGUGUCACCAAAGAGUUUUAUAUUUUUGAGACAAAUCUGAGCCAUCCUACAAACCACUCAGUACAAUGUUAAUAAUACUUUACAAGAGGAGAAAGGGCAUUUCUGAUUGUCUGAAAAAAGUACAAGCUGCUGGGAUUUCUUGAGCACUUACGGAGGUCCAAUUUGGGCUUCUCAGCAUCUCCCAUUUGUUUUUCUUUCUGUAAAAUUGAGACACCUGGCUUUUCUUACAAGGUUAUCAAGGUUUUCAAUUAAAGUUCUUUAUAAAUGGAAAUGCCUUGCAAACAGUAUUUAAUCACUUGACUAAAAAUGGUCUGCAAUGUCUUUAGGCAGUACAUUUGUUUUCAUAGGGACUAGUCACAGUGCUCAGCUUCACGUAAGGCUGCCGGAUCAUAUGCUGCAUCUUUAAGACGUAGUUUACUUCUGAAUCAGUAAAUGU